UCUUAAACAAACCAGAAUGGUAACAUUUGUGAUUUCUAUUUGUCUUUUUUGUUUAAAGGGAAGGCGAGGCAAAACAGGACCCCCUGGAAAACCAGGACCACCGGGACCUCCUGGUCCUCCUGGAAAACAAGGAAGACAAUAUACUCUUGGAGGAUAUUAUAACAAGGUAUUUAUUUUCUUUUAUGGUAUUUUUGUGUAUAUAGUGAAUGGACAUGGUAGGGAGUCUAAAAAUAUCUUUGUCCUAACUUCUAGUAUAGUCUUUGCAUACCCUAACUGGUAAGUCCUUAGCACCCAAACAUAAGCAGGCA
Molecule: long non-coding RNA, 308 nt
Filed under: Phascolarctos cinereus (koala)
Lineage: Eukaryota; Metazoa; Chordata; Mammalia; Diprotodontia; Phascolarctidae
Description: lncRNA (ENSPCIG00000032973.1)
Source: RNAcentral